Molecule: long non-coding RNA, 1001 nt
Organism: Pollicipes pollicipes
Lineage: Eukaryota; Metazoa; Arthropoda; Thecostraca; Pollicipedomorpha; Pollicipedidae
Exons: 3
Source: RefSeq, a predicted model, not a curated record
GUUAUCAAGUGAAGGAACUAGAGUACUUGCAUUAGCUGACGUUUUCAGCUCUUGAGGAUGCCGCAUUAAUGUGCCGUGAAGUGCAUCGAGUAACUACUAAAAUUGCGCUUGUUAUUAAAAGACUUGAGUUAAACUUGCUCAAUCGCAUACUGGCUUGACAAAUUACAGGCUAUGCUUUUAAGCAAAAUUCUACCUCUGACCUUGUACGUGCUGUACACACAAAUAUUUAUAUUGCCACAGCGCAUCGAAGGACUACAAUGUUUCGUCUGCAACAGCAAGCAAGAUCACGGAUGCAAAAAUGAUGAACUGAAAGGUGGACAUACCAAUAAACGUUUCACCAAGACAUGCAAGGAAAGCGAUGCAGUAUGCGUGAAGUUGGGUUUGCAAGUGUCAGGCUACUACGAGCAACACUUCGCUGGGAGUGAUCUGAAGCGAUACUACGACUCCCUGGACAAGAACGCCGCAUGCCGCGGGAUCACGCCGCCAAGCGGUGCUGGCACUACCAGCGCCUCUGGCGGCCAUCUGGCAACUACAGCUUCAGUUGGAGGUCCCGCGGGUGUCGCUGCCGGCAACGGCUCGAAAGCCGCGGGCGCUGGCGCGACCGGAGCCCCGGCGGGGUCGACAACAGCGGUGCCGGCGGGGCGGCACGCCGGCGGCCAUGACGACGGUCAUGACGCCCACAGCCGGCACGGUAACCACGGGCCCGGCGGCCAUCAGCACCCGCCAGAUCAGCCGGCCGGCUCUCAUGUGCACAGACCCGCCGACGGCCAGAACGGCACCGGCGGGGGCCAGAAGAUUUGCCCGGUGAGCACAUCGCCGACUUAGGUGCUGAUCGGCCCAUCUAACAACACAUUCUCACGGUAACUUUCUAUGACGGAGCGCGUUUCACAUCAAAGGUUUAUACCGACUGGUCCAGGUCCGGUCCAGGUCCGGUCUGGUCCAGGUAUACCGACCGACUGGUCUGGGUCCAGGCUAUGUUACAGAGAAAAUAUAGCCCGCGG